CAGCCGCCGCGGUAAUACGGAGGGUGCAAGCGUUAAUCGGAAUUACUGGGCGUAAAGCGCACGCAGGCGGUCUGUCAAGUCAGAUGUGAAAUCCCGGGGCUUAACCUGGGAACUGCAUUUGAAACUGGCAGGCUAGAGUCUUGUAGAGGGGGGUAGAAUUCCAGGUGUAGCGGUGAAAUGCGUAGAGAUCUGGAGGAAUACCGGUGGCGAAGGCGGCCCCCUGGACAAAGACUGACGCUCAGGUGCGAAAGCGUGGGGAGCAAACAGGAUUAGAUACCCCUGUAGUCCCUGUCUCUUAUAC
Molecule: ribosomal RNA, 301 nt
Filed under: uncultured bacterium
Lineage: Bacteria
Description: partial 16S ribosomal RNA
Rfam family: Bacterial small subunit ribosomal RNA
Source: RNAcentral